RNAcentral lists this ribosomal RNA (328 nucleotides) under Providencia stuartii. RNAcentral's name for it is "partial 23S ribosomal RNA". It matches the Rfam family "Bacterial large subunit ribosomal RNA", at positions 455 to 782 of the family's 2925-position model. The record is from RNAcentral. Lineage: Bacteria; Pseudomonadati; Pseudomonadota; Gammaproteobacteria; Enterobacterales; Morganellaceae.
AUCCUCCAAGGCUAAAUACUCCUGAUUGACCGAUAGUGAACCAGUACCGUGAGGGAAAGGCGAAAAGAACCCCGGCGAGGGGAGUGAAAUAGAACCUGAAACCGUGUACGUACAAGCAGUGGGAGCCUUGAUUUAUCAGGGUGACUGCGUACCUUUUGUAUAAUGGGUCAGCGACUUAUAUUCUGUAGCAAGGUUAACCGUAUAGGGGAGCCGUAGGGAAACCGAGUCUUAACUGGGCGAAUGAGUUGCAGGGUAUAGACCCGAAACCCGGUGAUCUAGCCAUGGGCAGGUUGAAGGUUGGGUAACACUAACUGGAGGACCGAACCGA